CAUCGGCUCUGACGUCGCUCCAUCCUCACCGACACCUAGUCCUCUUCCAGCUAAUUUCUUCUCGAUGGCACUCUCCUUCAGAGUGGUGGCGACCUCGAUGGCUUCACAAGCUUUGCACUAUCUCUCCUUGCUCCUUCGACAACUGCGGCCCCUAUGACCAUGUCACGCAUUCGACUCGAGAUUGUGAGCUGAAGGUCAUAGCAACCGCCGCAUAUUCAUAGAAAAUUCUCUUCACA
This 236-nucleotide long non-coding RNA is filed under the name Elaeis guineensis (African oil palm). RNAcentral's name for it is "long non-coding RNA (EGUI_LNC049677)". Lineage: Eukaryota; Viridiplantae; Streptophyta; Magnoliopsida; Arecales; Arecaceae. The record is from RNAcentral.